Long non-coding RNA from Pantherophis guttatus, 1012 nucleotides. RefSeq lists it as uncharacterized. The record is from RefSeq and is a predicted model, not a curated record. Lineage: Eukaryota; Metazoa; Chordata; Lepidosauria; Squamata; Colubridae.
CUAUCAACACUCCAGGCCAAGCAGCAAUACUCACCUAGAUGGAAAAGACAACCUUCAAGAAGCAAGCCAGAGAUGCUACACAGUACCACUACAAGCCAAUGACGAGCCUCAAGCCUACAAAUGAGAGAGCUCCAAGCAAAGCUGCACUCUACAUCCAAGGUACCUGAGUCUGCAAGUUAGCCUAAGGAUCAGCCUUCAUGCCAGAGCAGCAUAGAAAGGACCAGCUGAAACCAGAGACGGUUAAACGUGGUUCAUUCAGUUCAUAUUCAUUUGAAGAAGUAAAGACUUAUGGAGAUCUUCCUCCAGGAGCUUUUCCAUUAGAUGUAAAGUAAGGACCAUCUUCUUCCUGUGAUGCUACCAGAAAUGGGCUCCCUUCCUUUUUCUUCUCCUCUAUUCCCAAGCCAAGACAGCAUGAUGCUAUCUGUUACAGAAAUGAGAGGAGGAAUGUGGCUCAUCUUAAUGAGACAAAAAUUAUCUCUCAUGGAGCCUAAAAAUGAAGAUGUUUCUGCAGAGAGAGGAUUUGUGGACAGUUGUAAGCAAUCCUCUAGCAGAUCUCAAUGAGGAAAAGUAAAAUGAAAUAGCAUAGCCAGCAUACUUUUGUGCUUGGAAGAUGUAUGUUGUGUUUAGUUCUCUUGAUGAUACAUGGGACAUGUUAGUAGCAAGUCUUGAGUCUAUGAAUGUGAAUUAACUAUGAGUUAUGUAACCAGGAGACUUUUGGAAGAAGAACAGAAAAGAUUAGAGAAAAAUGUUGCACACCAGAGAAAUGAUAGUAAUUUACAACUCCGACAGAAAGACGACACAUUCCAAGGAGAUAACAAGGUGAGAGAGAAAGUCUGUGUAGUAAAAUGCUGCUUUGCAUGUGGAUCCACUGAACGUAUCUGUAGAAAUUGCCCAGUAAGAUGAUUAAAAGAUACAAGGAUGAGACAGAAAGCACAAUGACAGAAGAAGGAAGAUGCACAGAUUUCUAUGGUGACAGCAACCGGAAAGACAUUAAAGAUGUUUGGUUGUUGAA